RNAcentral lists this ribosomal RNA (512 nucleotides) under Pseudogymnoascus pannorum. RNAcentral's name for it is "eukaryotic LSU rRNA". It matches the Rfam family "Eukaryotic large subunit ribosomal RNA", at positions 83 to 601 of the family's 3401-position model. The record is from RNAcentral. Lineage: Eukaryota; Fungi; Ascomycota; Leotiomycetes; Thelebolales; Thelebolaceae.
GUAACGGCGAGUGAAGCGGUAACAGCUCAAAUUUGAAAUCUGGCCUCACGGUCCGAGUUGUAAUUUGUAGAGGAUGCUUCGAGCAUGGUCUGGCCUAAGUUCCUUGGAACAGGACGUCAUAGAGGGUGAGAAUCCCGUAUGCGGCCAGGUGCCUACGCUCAUGUGAAGCUCCUUCGACGAGUCGAGUUGUUUGGGAAUGCAGCUCAAAAUGGGUGGUAAAUUUCAUCUAAAGCUAAAUAUUGGCCAGAGACCGAUAGCGCACAAGUAGAGUGAUCGAAAGAUGAAAAGCACUUUGGAAAGAGAGUUAAACAGUACGUGAAAUUGUUGAAAGGGAAGCGCUUGCAACCAGACUUGCGCGCGGCCGAUCAUCCGGUGUUCUCACCGGUGCACUCGGCCGUGCUCAGGCCAGCAUCGGUUUUGGCGGCUGGAUAAAGGCCCUAGGAAUGUAGCUCCUCUCGGGGAGUGUUAUAGCCUAGGGUGCAAUGCAGCCUGCUGGGACCGAGGACCGCGCU